UAGUCAGAGACGCAGGCCUCGCUCUAGAUUGGCAGCAUCAACAAAGGCUGUACACGUUACAAAUGAAGCAACGUUCCUUUGCCGUUGGCCCCUGUCUAUGUUCCUUGGAACAGGACGUCACACAGGGUGAGAAUCCCGUGCGAUGGGGAGACCAAUUCUAUGUGAAGUUCCUUCGAAGAGUCCAGUUGUUUGGGAAUGCAGCUCUAAGUGGGUGGUAAAUUCCAUCUAAAGCUAAAUAUUGGCGAGAGACCGAUAGCGAACAAGUACAGUGAUGGAAAGAUGAAAAGAACUUUGAAAACAACCCAAAAAAGUACGUGAAAUUGUUGAAAGGGAAGGACUUUUGAUCAGACUUGGUGUUUAUGACUCCCCCCUCCUUGUGGGUGGGGCUCUUGCUUUAUACCGGGCCACAUCGAUUUGGGUGGCAGGAUAAUG
RNAcentral lists this ribosomal RNA (432 nucleotides) under Nakazawaea ishiwadae. RNAcentral's name for it is "partial large subunit ribosomal RNA". It matches the Rfam family "Eukaryotic large subunit ribosomal RNA", at positions 87 to 524 of the family's 3401-position model. Lineage: Eukaryota; Fungi; Ascomycota; Pichiomycetes; Alaninales; Pachysolenaceae. The record is from RNAcentral.